GUGGCAGACUCUUGCCCUGGUCUCAGAUUCCCGGCCCUGGCCCCCGGCCUGAUUUACUCCUGUAGCUCCGCCUGACUAGUGACACCGCCUCUGCUCAGCUCCCAUAUCACCUCCUUGAUGACAUCUCAGGUCCCAGGCACAGGGAUCAAACUCUGGACCUUGUGCUUGCGAGGCAGGAGCUGGAACCACUGAGGUUAAGGAAGUGAAUCACAAGCUAUAUAAAAUUGAGGUAAACUGGAAAACUCAAAGGAAAGUACUGUAUCUACUCCCAGCCGCCCAGAACAAAAGAUCACAUUAAAAAAUCCAUGGUGUGAAUUCCCUCCUUGGGCCAGAAGGGAGGAAGA
This 344-nucleotide long non-coding RNA is filed under the name Heterocephalus glaber (naked mole-rat). Its description in RNAcentral is "lncRNA (ENSHGLG00000036666.1)". The record is from RNAcentral. Lineage: Eukaryota; Metazoa; Chordata; Mammalia; Rodentia; Bathyergidae.